This 72-nucleotide transfer RNA is filed under the name Heterocephalus glaber (naked mole-rat). It matches the Rfam family "tRNA". Rfam says of the family: Transfer RNA (tRNA) molecules are approximately 80 nucleotides in length. Their secondary structure includes four short double-helical elements and three loops (D, anti-codon, and T loops). The record is from Rfam by way of RNAcentral. Lineage: Eukaryota; Metazoa; Chordata; Mammalia; Rodentia; Bathyergidae.
AGUGGUGUAGCUCAGCGAUAGAACCCUUGCCUAGCAUGCAGAAGGUCCUGGGUUCUAUCCCCAUCACCACCA